UGGUUCUGGCAUCGAUGAAGAACGCAGCGAAAUGCGAUAAGUAAUGCGAAUUGCAGAAUUCCGUGAGUCAUCGAAUCUUUGAACGCACAUUGCGCCCUUUGGUAUUCCGAAGGGCAUGCCUGUUCGAGCGUCAUUAUCAACCUUCAAGCCUGGCUUGCCGUUGGACUCGGUGGACUUUGGGUCCACCGGUCCCAAAGACAAUGACGGUGUCCGUGGGACCCUCGGUACAAGGAGCUUUUAACCAAGCACGUACCGCAGAACCCCCGGAUCCGGUCUACCUAUAUCUUUUCUCAGGUUGACCUCGGAUCAGGUAGGAAUACCCGCUGA
RNAcentral lists this unclassified non-coding RNA (327 nucleotides) under uncultured fungus. RNAcentral's name for it is "partial contains 5.8S ribosomal RNA and internal transcribed spacer 2". The stretch from base 1 to 133 matches the Rfam family "5.8S ribosomal RNA", at positions 22 to 154 of the family's 154-position model. The record is from RNAcentral. Lineage: Eukaryota; Fungi.